RNAcentral lists this ribosomal RNA (428 nucleotides) under uncultured bacterium. Its description in RNAcentral is "bacterial SSU rRNA". It matches the Rfam family "Bacterial small subunit ribosomal RNA", at positions 355 to 776 of the family's 1533-position model. The record is from RNAcentral.
UGGGGAAUCUUGCGCAAUGGGCGAAAGCCUGACGCAGCGACGCCGCGUGAGUGAUGAAGGCCUUCGGGUUGUAAAGCUCUGUGGGGAGAGAAGAAUAAGUGCGGGCUAAUACUCCGCAUGAUGACGGUAUCUCCUUAGCAAGCACCGGCUAACUCUGUGCCAGCAGCCGCGGUAAGACAGAGGGUGCAAACGUUGUUCGGAAUUACUGGGCGUAAAGCGAGUGUAGGCGGUUUGAUAAGUCGGAUGUGAAAGCCCCGGGCUCAACCCGGGAAGUGCACUCGAUACUGUCAAGCUAGAGUAUCGGAGAGGUUGGUGGAAUUCUCGGUGUAGAGGUGAAAUUCGUAGAUAUCGAGAGGAACACCGGUGGCGAAGGCGGCCAACUGGACGAAUACUGACGCUGAGACUCGAAAGCGUGGGGAGCAAACAGG